GUUCCUACAAUGAAUAUGCUACAGCCAACAUACACCUUAGGGUUCUGAAUGGCUAGGAGACCGAGUUAUGGUGUAGUCAAACUAUAACACACUCAAGGUGAACUGUCAAUGUACCUCAGGUCAAAGAACUAGAUACACAGCUACAGCAUCAAGUUAGUCAUCAACGAGAAUGUAGACUUCUUUAUGACUGCUUGAGGUGGUCACGCUCAGUACUCUCAUUCUCAACGAAUAUCUAUACUCUCGCUCUGGUGUCUCCACACCGUUGACUCAAGACACAUCUACCCUUAGAAAGUGAUCAUACACCAACCUUCCA
This 313-nucleotide long non-coding RNA is filed under the name Elaeis guineensis (African oil palm). RNAcentral describes it as "long non-coding RNA (EGUI_LNC067265)". The record is from RNAcentral. Lineage: Eukaryota; Viridiplantae; Streptophyta; Magnoliopsida; Arecales; Arecaceae.